Molecule: ribosomal RNA, 513 nt
Filed under: uncultured bacterium
Lineage: Bacteria
Description: partial 16S ribosomal RNA
Rfam family: Bacterial small subunit ribosomal RNA
Source: RNAcentral
UAUGAACGCUGGCGGCGUGCCUAAUACAUGCAAGUCGAGCGAAUGGGAGGGAGCUUGCUCCCUGAAGUUAGCGGCGGACGGGUGAGUAACACGUGGGCAACCUACCUACAAGAUUGGGAUAACUUCGGGAAACCGGAGCUAAUACCGGGUAAUACAUUGGAUCGCAUGGUUCGAUGUUGAAAGAUGGCUUCGGCUAUCACUUGUAGAUGGGCCCGCGGCGCAUUAGCUAGUUGGUGAGGUAACGGCUCACCAAGGCAACGAUGCGUAGCCGACCUGAGAGGGUGAUCGGCCACACUGGGACUGAGACACGGCCCAGACUCCUACGGGAGGCAGCAGUAGGGAAUCUUCCGCAAUGGACGAAAGUCUGACGGAGCAACGCCGCGUGAGUGAUGAAGGCCUUCGGGUCGUAAAGCUCUGUUGUUAGGGAAGAACAAGUACCGUUUGAAUAAGGCGGUACCUUGACGGUACCUAACCAGAAAGCCACGGCUAACUACGUGCCAGCCGCCGCCGUAA